RNAcentral lists this ribosomal RNA (274 nucleotides) under uncultured bacterium. RNAcentral's name for it is "partial 16S ribosomal RNA". It matches the Rfam family "Bacterial small subunit ribosomal RNA", at positions 523 to 796 of the family's 1533-position model. The record is from RNAcentral.
AUACGAAGGGGGCGAGCGUUGUUCGGAAUUACUGGGCGUAAAGCGUACGUAGGCGGCCUGAUAAGUUAGGUGUGAAAGCCCUAGGCUCAACCUAGGAAUUGCAUUUAAAACUGUCGGGCUAGAAUCUCGGAGAGGAUGACGGAAUUUCCAGUGUAGAGGUGAAAUUCGUAGAUAUUGGAAGGAACACCAGUGGCGUAGGCGGUCAUCUGGACGAGUAUUGACGCUGAGGUACGAAAGCGUGGGGAGCAAACAGGAUUAGAAACCCUAGUAGUCC